UCUCCGUAGGUGAACCUGCGGAGGGAUCAUUACAGAGUUCUCGCCCUUACGGGUAGUUCUCCCACCCACUGUUAUCGUUACUGUCGUUUCUUUGGCGGGCCGCCGGGUCCCCGGCCGCCGGCGCCUAGCUGCCGGCGCGCGCCCGCCAGAGGCCUUCAAACUCUGAAUGUUAGUGUCGUCUGAGUACUAUAUAAUAGUUAAAACUUUCAACAACGGAUCUCUUGGUUCUG
RNAcentral lists this unclassified non-coding RNA (230 nucleotides) under plant metagenome. RNAcentral describes it as "partial contains small subunit ribosomal RNA, internal transcribed spacer 1, and 5.8S ribosomal RNA". The record is from RNAcentral.